GUCUACAGCCAUACCACCCUGAACGCACCUUAUCUCGUCUGAUCUUGGAAGCUAAGCAGGGUCGGGCCUGGUUACUACUUGGAUGAGAGAAAACACUUUAGUUU
Molecule: ribosomal RNA, 104 nt
Filed under: Jaculus jaculus (lesser Egyptian jerboa)
Lineage: Eukaryota; Metazoa; Chordata; Mammalia; Rodentia; Dipodidae
Source: RNAcentral